GAGGCUGUAGCUCAGUGGUAGAGCGCUUGCCUAGCAUGCAUGAGGCACUGGGUUUGAUCCUCAGCACCACA
Molecule: transfer RNA, 71 nt
Filed under: Marmota monax (woodchuck)
Lineage: Eukaryota; Metazoa; Chordata; Mammalia; Rodentia; Sciuridae
Description: tRNA.Ala
Rfam family: tRNA (bases 6-66)
About the family: Transfer RNA (tRNA) molecules are approximately 80 nucleotides in length. Their secondary structure includes four short double-helical elements and three loops (D, anti-codon, and T loops).
Source: RNAcentral